Molecule: ribosomal RNA, 579 nt
Rfam family: Eukaryotic large subunit ribosomal RNA
CGGAGGAAAAGAAACCAACAGGGAUUGCCCUAGUAACGGCGAGUGAAGCGGCAACAGCUCAAAUUUGAAAUCUGGCUUCGGCCCGAGUUGUAAUUUGUAGAGGAAGCUUUAGGCGCGGCACCUUCUGAGUCCCCUGGAACGGGGCGCCACAGAGGGUGAGAGCCCCGUAUAGUUGGAUGCCUAGCCUGUGUAAAGCUCCUUCGACGAGUCGAGUAGUUUGGGAAUGCUGCUCAAAAUGGGAGGUAAAUUUCUUCUAAAGCUAAAUACCGGCCAGAGACCGAUAGCGCACAAGUAGAGUGAUCGAAAGAUGAAAAGCACUUUGAAAAGAGGGUUAAAUAGCACGUGAAAUUGUUGAAAGGGAAGCGCUUGUGACCAGACUUGCGCCGGGCGGAUCAUCCGGUGUUCUCACCGGUGCACUCCGCCCGGCUCAGGCCAGCAUCGGUUCUCGCGGGGGGAUAAAGGCCCCGGGAACGUAGCUCCUCCGGGAGUGUUAUAGCCCGGGGCGUAAUGCCCUCGCGGGGACCGAGGACCGCGCAUCUGCAAGGAUGCUGGCGUAAUGGUCACCAGCGACCCGUCUUG